RNAcentral lists this long non-coding RNA (3996 nucleotides) under Macaca fascicularis (crab-eating macaque). RNAcentral's name for it is "lncRNA (ENSMFAG00000049471.1)". Lineage: Eukaryota; Metazoa; Chordata; Mammalia; Primates; Cercopithecidae. The record is from RNAcentral.
CGGACGCCGAGGAGCUACCACCGCGACUCCGCCCGCCCGCGCAGGCUCAGGUUACCUCCAGCUGCUGCCAUGCCCAACUCAGUGCUGUGGGCGGUGGACCUCUUCGGGAGAGUGUACACGCUGUCCACAGCCGGCCAGUACUGGGAGCUGUGCAAGGACUCCCAGCUAGAGUUCAAGCGCGUCAGCGCCACCACGCAGUGCUGCUGGGGCAUUGCCUGUGACAACCAGGUCUACGUGUAUGUGUGUGCCAGCGAUGUCCCCAUCCGCCGCCGAGAGGAGGCCUAUGAGAAUCAGCGCUGGAAUCCCGUGGGUGGCUUCUGUGAAAAACUCCUACUGAGUGACCGCUGGGGCGUGGAGUGGCGUGAGUGGGCUCCAACACCGGCCGGCUGGAUGGGGUGGCGCUGCCCUCGCGCACUGGGAGUGGGAGUCUGACUGAUGCGUGGAUGAAAAUUUUGGAGGCGAACCCACCGAGAAAGGGGGUGGGCGUCGCCAUCGACUUUCCGCCACCUACGAGAGACAAGAAGUGGAAUUCUUGUGUGCGGCGCCCGAAAAUGGAUCCCGGUACGGGAGAUACAAGUCCCGGGACAUCUGGGCCAAGAUCCCCUCGAAGGACGACCCCAAGGAGCUGCCCGACCCCUUCAACGACCUCUCUGUAGGGGGCUGGGAGAUCACGGAGGAGCCUGUGGGCCGCCUGUCAGUGUGGGCUGUGUCUCUGCAGGGCAAGGAAGUUCCUGGUCCGUUGUGGAGCCUCCUGGAUCUGAAAACGGGGUCAUGCACGUCUCGGUGGGAGUCAACGUGGUCUGGGCUGUCACCAAGGACCAGAAGGUGUGGUUCCGAAGAGGCGUCAACUCUCACAAUCCCUGUGGCACCAGCUGGAUUGAGAUGGUUGGUGAGAUGCUGAUGGUGAACGUGGGAAUGAACGACCAGGUGUGGGGCAUUGGCUGUGAGGACCGAGCUGUGUACUUCCGGCAGGGCGUCACCCCCAGCGAGCUCAGCGGGAAGACCUGGAAGGCCAUCGUCGUGGCCCGAGAGUGUGACCGGUCACACUCCGGCAGCUCGUCUAGUCUCCUCAGGUGACCAGGGACGGCAGGCUGUGCAGGAGCCAGGCUGGGACGGGCUCUCUGAGCCUAGGUGGUCACGUCCAGAAGAGUCUGCCACCCGCCCCACUGGGUCCCGGGACUUGUCCCAGGCAGGAGAAAAUGGGUCUUCACUCACAAGAGCCACAAGAGCCGAAGCCCUCCUGCCUCGGUCCUACAGAGAGGGGGUCCUGGGGGCAGCCCGGGGUGGCUGCUGGAGGUGUUGGACGCACUCUGGGCUGCUGGUGGUGGCACUGGGAGCAGGGUAAGGCUGGGCUGUCAUGAUGGAGGUGAGGCUCGACCCUGAUCUGGGUUACCCCAUUGGGUCCAAAGGCUGAAGAUCUGGGGCAGAAACAGUUCUCUGGGAAAGAAGUAAAGACCCUCUGUCCAGGGUAAACAAGGACGGGACAGAGGGGCUCUGACUAGCCUGCAGCAGUGGUCUCAGACUCAGGCACCGGGGUUGCCUGGAGGGUUUGUUCAGACUCUGAUCUCCGGGUCUCACCCCGAGUUUCUGUUUGAGACUUAGUAUUUCUCACCAGCCCCUGGGUGAUGCUGCUGCAGUUCCGGGGCCGCACCUGGGGGUCCGUAGGUCUAAAGAGCGUGGACAAGCCCUAGCUCUGCCCACUGGCCGUAAGAGCGUGGACAAGCCCUAGCUCUGCCCACUGGCCGUGAGAGCACAGGCAGGCGACUCUGUGGAUGAGCUGGGGACAGCUCAGCUCUGCAGUGGGAAUGUUCACAUCCGCGAGUGGAUGGAGAUGGCGCUCAGGGCCCGGGCUCUGCAGCCGUUCCCACCUGUAGCUGUGACCCUCCCCAGCCCCUGGUCCACACCCCUCUGUGCCCUGAGCCUGGUGGUUACCACCCUGCUGUGCUGUCAGCCCAGAGGGUCAGGGAAGAUGACCAGGGCAGGCGUUUGCUCAUGUGUCACCUGAGGGUUUAGUCUGCUCAGAUGGUAGGUGGCGUUUUGUUUGUUUUGUUUUGUUUUGUUUUGAGACAGUCUCACUGUGUCAUCCAGGCUAGAGUGCAGUGGCGUGAUCAUGGCUCACUGCAGCCUCAAACUCCUGGGCCCAAGUGAUCCUCCCACCUCAGCCUCCCAAGUAGCUGGGAUUACAGGUGUUCACCACCACACCUGGCUAAUUCUUGUAUUUUUAGUAGAGAUAGAGUUUCACUAUGUUGGCCAGGCUGGUCUUGAACUCCUGACCUCAAGUGACCCUCCCACCUCUGUCUCCCAAAGUGCUGAGAUUACAGGCGUGAGCCACCACACCCGGCCAACUGGUAGUUCUUUUUAUUGUUUGUUUUUUUUGUUUUUUGUUUUGGGGCGGGUCUCGCUCUGUCGCCCAGGCUGGAGUGCCGUGGCGUGAUCUCAGCUCGCUGCAAGCUCUGCCUCCUGGGUUCACGCCAUUCUCCUGCCUCAGCCUCCCAAGUAGCUGGGACUACAGGCGCCCGUCACUACGCCCAGCUAAUUUUUUGUAUUUUUAGUAGAGAUGGGGUUUCACCGUGUUAGCCAGGAUGAUCUCGAUCUCCUAACCUUGUGAUCUGCCCACCUUGGCCUCCCGAAGUGCUGGGUGUGAGCCACUGCGCCCGGACCCAACUGGUAGUUCUUAAACUAGAAAGUACAUGAGAAUCAGCUAAGAAGCUUCAAAAACUACAGAUGCCAAAUCUUUAUAACUUUGAGGUUAGCAGUGGCUUCUUAGACAUGAUACCAAAAGCCCAGGCAAUGAGGAAAUACAGAUAAAUUGGACUUCAUCAAAAUUAAAAACUUUUGUGAAUCAAAGGACAUUAUCAAGAGAGUGAAAAGUCAAUGGAAGAAAGGCAAGGCUGGGUGCAGUAGCUUACACCUACGAUCCCAGCACUUUAGGGAAGCAAAGCGGGAGGGUAAGCUUGAGCCCAGGAAUUCAAGGUCAGCCUAGACAACAUAGUGAGACCCCAUCUCUGCAAGAAUAUUUUUUAAAAUUAUCUGGGUGUAGUGGUAUGUGCCUGUAGGCGAGGCGAAGUGGGAGGAUCCCAUGAGCCCAGGAGGUCGAGGCUGCAAUGAGCUAUGAUCACUUCACUACCCUCCAGCCUGGGUGACAGAGAAAGACUCUGUCUCAAAAAAAACAAACAAACAAUAACAAAUGCUAGUGAGAACAUGGAGAAAUUGGAACCGUCCUACACUGCCGGUAGGAAUGUGAAAUGGUACAGCCACUGUGGAGAACAAUUUAGCAAUUCCUCAAGACGUGAAACCCAGAACUGCCAUGUGAGCCAGCACAUCCACUGUAGCCAGAUGCUGGGCUCCUCUGUGGCCUCCAGAGACCAGCCUGAGGCUGUCAGGACCUGGAAGCACAGUGGCCAAUGCCUCUUCCCCUGUGCUAGCAGUAGUGGCCGCUUUCCAGUGGAUGAAAACACAUGUUUUAGUCCAUUUUGUGUUGCUAUAAGGGAAUCCUGAGGCUGGGUCUUUUUUAAAGGAAAAAAAGGUUGGCCGGGCCGCGGUGGCUCAAGCCUGUAAUCCCAGCACUUUAGGAGGCCGAGGCAGGGUGGAUCAAGAGGUCAGGAGAUCGAGACCAUCCUGGCUAACAUGGUGAAACCCGUCUCUACUAAAAAAUACAAAAACUAGCCAGAAGGCGAGGUGGUGAGCCUGUAGUCCCAACUACUCAGGAGGCUGAGGCGGGAGAAUAAGUAAACCGGGAGGCAGAGCUUGCAGUGAGCUGAGAUCCGGCCACUGUACUCCAGCCUGGGUGACAGAGCGAGACUCCGUCUCAAAAAAAAAAAGAAAAAGAAAAAGGGUUUAUGGUCAGGCAUGGUGGCUCAAGCCUGUAAUCCCAACACUUUGGAAGACUAAGGCCAGCGGAUCACUUGAGGUCAGCGGAUCACUUGAGGUCAGGAGUUCAAGACCAGCCUCGCCAACAUGGUGAAACCCCAUCUCUACUAAAAAUACAAAAAUCAG